GUACUUGCUUCAGCAGUACAUAUACUAAAAUUGGAACGAUACAGAGAAGAUUAGCAUGGCCCCUGCGCAAGGAUUACACGCAAAAUCGUGAAGCGUUCCACAUUUUU
Molecule: small nuclear RNA, 107 nt
Filed under: Schistocerca americana (American grasshopper)
Lineage: Eukaryota; Metazoa; Arthropoda; Insecta; Orthoptera; Acrididae
Source: RNAcentral